RNAcentral lists this long non-coding RNA (1327 nucleotides) under Brassica napus (rape). RNAcentral describes it as "long non-coding RNA (BNAP_LNC006090)". The record is from RNAcentral. Lineage: Eukaryota; Viridiplantae; Streptophyta; Magnoliopsida; Brassicales; Brassicaceae.
UCCGUCGGGUGGAUCAUCAGCGAUGCUAGCGAUCCAAGGAGAUUUCGCCACGGCGGAGAUCCUAAUAUGCGGCGGAGCUCAAUCCGGCGCUUUCACAGCGCGUGCCGUUGACGCACCGGCGCACGGAACCUGCGGUCGAAUCGUCGCUACCGCGCCGGAUCCGGCUUGGGUGACGGAGGAGAUGCCGUUCGGGAGGAUCAUGGGAGAUAUGGUGAAUCUUCCGACGGGAGAGAUUCUGAUCAUAAACGGAGCUCAAGCCGGAAGCCAAGGAUUCGAAAUGGGAUCGGAUCCGUGUCUUUACCCGCUUCUAUACCGACCCGAUCAACCAAUUGGAUUGCGAUUCAUGACACUGAAUCCAGGAACCGUACCGAGAAUGUACCAUUCGACGGCGAAUCUGUUACCGGACGGUCGAAUCCUCCUCGCCGGAAGUAACCCUCACUACUUCUACAAAUUCAACGCCGAGUUUCCCACCGAGUUACGUAUCGAAGCGUUUUCUCCGGAGUAUCUUUCACAGGAUCGAGCCAAUCUCCGACCCGAGCUCCGAGAAAUUCCGCAGAUCGUAAGAUACGGCGAGGUCUUCGAUGUGUUCGUGACGGUGCCGUUGCCGGUUGUGGAGACGAUUCAGAUCUAUUGGGGAAGCGCGCCUUUUGCGACUCACUCGUUUUCUCAGGGUCAACGGCUCGUGAUGUUGACCGUUGGGCCAUCAAUACCUGACGGAGAAGGACGUUAUAGGAUUCAGUGCACGGCUCCACUAACCGGACGCUGGUACGCUAGUGACCAGAUAUUACCGGAUGGUUCGGUUAUCAUCGUCGGUGGGAGAGGAACCAAUACGGUUGAGUAUUACCCUCCUCGCGAGAACGGCGCCGUUCCGUUUCAGUUUCUUGCUGACGUGGAGGAUAAACAGAUGGAUAAUCUCUACCCUUACGUUCAUCUCCUCCCCGACGACGGCGGAAACCUCUUCAUCUUCGCCAACAGCCGCGCCGUCAAAUACGAUCACCGCCUAAACACCGUGGUGAAAGAGUAUCCGCCUCUAGACGGCGGCCCGAGGAAUUAUCCGUCGGGUGGAUCAUCAGCGAUGCUAGCGAUCCAAGGAGAUUUCGCCACGGCGGAGAUCCUAAUAUGCGGCGGAGCUCAAUCCGGCGCUUUCACAGCGCGUGCCGUUGACGCACCGGCGCACGGAACCUGCGGUCGAAUCGUCGCUACCGCGCCGGAUCCGGCUUGGGUGACGGAGGAGAUGCCGUUCGGGAGGAUCAUGGGAGAUAUGGUGAAUCUACCGACGGGAGAGAUUCUGAUCAUAAACGGAGCUCAAGCCGGAAGCCAAGGAUUC